GAUGAACGCUGGCGGCGUGCUUAAUACAUGCAAGUCGAGCGAACAGACGAGGCGCUUGCUCCUCUGACGUUAGCGGCGGACGGGUGAGUAACAUGUGGAUCCCCCACCUAUAUGACUGGGAUAAUUUCGGGAAACCGGCGCUAAUACCGUAUAAUAUCUUGAACCGCAGUGUUCAAUAGUGAAUGACGGCUUUGCUGUCACUUCUAGAUGCUUCCGGGCCGCAUUAGCUAGUUGGUAGGGUAAUGGCUUACCACGGCAACGAGGCGUAGCCGACGGACGAGGGGGAUCGGCGACCUGGGAACGGGAACAGGGACAAGGCUACUACGGGAGGCAGCAGUAGGGAAUCGGACGCAAUGGGCGAAAGCCUGGCGGAGCAACGCCGCGUGAGAGAUAAAGAUGUUCGGAGCGGAAUACUCUGUUAUUGGGGGAGAACAAAUGUGUAAGUAAAUAAGCACGUCUUGACGGUACCUGGUCAGAAAGCCACGGCUAACUACGUG
RNAcentral lists this ribosomal RNA (497 nucleotides) under uncultured bacterium. RNAcentral describes it as "partial 16S ribosomal RNA". It matches the Rfam family "Bacterial small subunit ribosomal RNA", at positions 28 to 507 of the family's 1533-position model. The record is from RNAcentral.